GCAAAAAGGGCUGGACCGAUUUGAAUCAGCUUUUGCAUCACUCGUUAAGUCAAAAAUAAUUUUAAUUCACCUGUUUUAUAAGCAGAGCAAAUCCCAUGGCAUUUGGCCUCACAGCUCAAGUUAAGUGGCCACACAGGGAGAGGAAGAAAUUGGCAAAACACCUGGUUAAGGUAACGUUUAUGUAGGCUACAGGGACCAAACCACUUCUUAAUAAGGUUUUAAACAAAGAGAAAUCCCAACUUCCUCCUUGGGAAGGAAGACUUGGUCUUCCUUUUUCAUUCUGUGUUUUUCCUUCUGUUUCUACAAGGAUAGUUAUGGGGAAAGGCAGGCAAACAUCUGCCAAGUUGUGGAAAGUUAUAACUGCAGUAACCUGUGCUUUUACCAUCAUGAUGGUCUUAUCUGCAGUUGAAUCAACUCGUACUCCAAAGAGUAAGUUCAUAGCAAGGAACUGGGGCCCUCAAUCAAUGCUAUACCUCAAAGGACGAUAUGGCCGAAGAUACGCUUCUUCUGAUAAAGAGGAACAAAGUUACAAGAUUGACUUGGAUGAUCCAAAUGCAGUUCUGAAAAGUUAUAGAAACUCAGCACCACUGAAAUUCUUGAACUCCAUAAGAAGAUUAACAGCUAAAAAUAUGGACAUUGAACAUGUGGACUAACAAUUUAUAUGAUUUGCUCUUCAAAUUUUUCAAAUGCUAUAUAUAAUUUUAAAAGUAUUUCAUUGUUGCCUUUUUCCAUUUGUGCUCCUGUGAAAUGCUUUAUGCAAUAUUGAUUAUAACAAAUCAGUCUAUUUAAUCAGAAAAACUGCUUUACCCUAAUAAAUGUGAACAUGAAAAAUGAGAACGUCA
Molecule: long non-coding RNA, 842 nt
Filed under: Pogona vitticeps (central bearded dragon)
Lineage: Eukaryota; Metazoa; Chordata; Lepidosauria; Squamata; Agamidae
Description: lncRNA (ENSPVIG00000022198.1)
Source: RNAcentral